GGCCACACUGGGACUGAGACACGGCCCAGACUCCUACGGGAGGCAGCAGUAGGGAAUCUUCCGCAAUGGACGAAAGUCUGACGGAGCAACGCCGCGUGAGUGAUGAAGGUUUUCGGAUCGUAAAGCUCUGUUGUUAGGGAAGAACAAGUGCGAGAGUAACUGCCGCCCUUGACGGUACCUAACCAGAAAGCCACGGCUAACUACGUGCCAGCAGCCGCGGUAAUACGUAGGUGGCAAGCGUUGUCCGGAAUUAUUGGGCGUAAAGGGCUCGCAGGCGGUUUCUUAA
Molecule: ribosomal RNA, 286 nt
Filed under: Bacillus sp. (in: firmicutes)
Lineage: Bacteria; Bacillati; Bacillota; Bacilli; Caryophanales; Bacillaceae
Description: Bacillus sp. (in: Bacteria) partial 16S ribosomal RNA
Rfam family: Bacterial small subunit ribosomal RNA
Source: RNAcentral